Long non-coding RNA from Triticum aestivum (bread wheat), 1791 nucleotides. RefSeq lists it as uncharacterized. The transcript is spliced from 6 exons. Lineage: Eukaryota; Viridiplantae; Streptophyta; Magnoliopsida; Poales; Poaceae. The record is from RefSeq and is a predicted model, not a curated record.
ACCCACCCUCUCCCUCUACCUCUCCUCUCGAUCCCCAGAUCCAUCCUAGAGCUCGGUCACGCCGCUCUGCGCUCCAUGGCCGGCACCGCAUCCUCUCACGCUUGCUCCGCUCCGCUCCUUCCUCCCAUCAGUUCGGAUCUGGUGCGCGCGUCCCCAACCCCUGAUGGCUCUCACGCCGCACCCGCCACUCCAGCUCCGCACGCCCCCCUCCCCCCCCGCGGUCGCCGUGGCCCACCAGCGUCGUGUGCUCCUCUCGCCGCGCCGCACUCGUUCCUGCUGUUGCUGCGCCGGUGCCGACGUGGGUAAGGUGUGGGCGAGGCGGGCGUACCGGUACGACGAGAUCGAGCCGAGGUGGCAGGCGCGCUGGGAGGAGCACCGCACGUUCCGCACCUCGGACGCCUCCAGGCCCAAGGGCUACAUCCUCGGCAUGUUCCCUUACCCAAGGUUCGGUUCAAAUAGGUGCUUGACUGUGAUUUGUGAAUGGGGGUGAUUGGCGCACACUAGCGAUUUUUAUGCUUCAGAUCGCUUCCUCCAUGACACCCCGAUCCGGGCGGCGGCAGCAGCGAUGGCAUCGACAAUCGACUGUGCCUAACUCUGCAUCUAUAACUGGCCUGUCUUCUUUAGACGGGUGCAGGUGCUCUACUACGCGCUACUCCGAACGGGUCACCUGGACAAAUGUUUUGCUUGUUUUUGAGCUACUACCACUUUUUAAGCUACUGCACUUGUUUUUGUCGGUAAUCUGAGCACUUGUUAGUUUAGUCAGGUAGGAGAUUAGAGUGAAAUGAUCCUGUAGGAGGUCCUGGACGAUGAUGUGCAAACAAUUAUUUUCUAUAGCAUUAGUAUGUCAAAUUUGUCUAAGUUAGUACAUGAGGAUUCUGCUAGCUGACAUACUAAUGUUGGUCAAUGAGUGAUGCUUCAUAGCGGACAACUACUGGUUUUAAUAUGCAAACAACAACAGUGCUAGAGAUGCUAUGUAAUAAUUAAUGUGUACUUGUUGAAAGUUCUUGCUUAUAUUAGUGUCUCUUAUUUCUUUUCUAAUUAAUGUCUCUCAUUUUUGUUCUAGUUAAUGUGUAACUGAGAAUGAACAUACUUCUCUCUUUUUAGAAUGCUAGAUUGCACAAGUUGAACGAUCUGCUCUAGUUUAAACAAGUUGGGAUACAUCAAUAUAAUAGGACUUUGUUUGCACUUCACCUAGCUUGUAACCAAUAUCCUUAUUGCUAAUUUACCUCAAGUUUAUCUAACAUGGUUGAAAUGAGCGCUGUAAAGUUUCAUGUCUAAGCUCAAUUUUUAUCCUAAGUCCUGAAGUAAUUAUUUUGGUUACAUCAUAGUUUGUUGAGAAUAUUAACUUGAACAUUGUAUGUAUGCCCUGAUGCAUGUACACACACGGCAUCAAAUAUUGAGCUGCAGCGAAACAACCUGGAGCUAGAGAACAUCAAGGAUAAGAUCAAGGAAGUUCUUGCCUUGUUGGCAACAUUGUGAGAUCAUGACCAAGCAUGACAAGAAGGGAGGCUCGUCAACCACCUACCAGCACACCUAUCAUGACCGAUGAUGAGACGCUGAAGGUUACGAGAGAUGAUGCUGGAGAGAUGCCCUUCCUGUAGGUCUACACAUAAGCGGAAGUUCAUGGGUAUGCAAGAUUUGAUGGUUAAAAUGGUUGAUGUGAUGUGAAUGAGUGUAUGGAAACUGGUUGUUGUGAUGUGAAUGAGUGUUGUAGUUUCACGUGUUCUGUUCUGUAUAGCAUAUUGUAAUAAACUUAUUUUAGCUGUUAUUUGAAGAUUUUCAUAUGCUUUC